UACGGAGGAUGCAAGCGUUAUCCGGAAUGAUUGGGCGUAAAGCGUCCGCAGGUGGCUAUGUAAGUCUGCUGUUAAAGAGUCUGGCUCAACCAGAUAAAGGCGGUGGAAACUACAUGGCUAGAGUGCGUUCGGGGCAGAGGGAAUUCCUGGUGUAGCGGUGAAAUGCGUAGAGAUCAGGAAGAACACCGGUGGCGAAAGCGCUCUGCUAGGCCGCAACUGACACUGAGGGACGAAAGCUAGGGGAGCGAAUGGG
This 253-nucleotide ribosomal RNA is filed under the name uncultured bacterium. RNAcentral's name for it is "partial 16S ribosomal RNA". It matches the Rfam family "Bacterial small subunit ribosomal RNA", at positions 524 to 776 of the family's 1533-position model. The record is from RNAcentral.